Molecule: ribosomal RNA, 1932 nt
Filed under: human gut metagenome
Description: bacterial LSU rRNA
Rfam family: Bacterial large subunit ribosomal RNA
Source: RNAcentral
UUAAGCUACAAAGGGCGUAGGGUGAAUGCCUUGGCAUCAAGAGCCGAUGAAGGACGUGAUAAGCUGCGAUAAGCUAUGGGUAGGAGCAAAUAUCCACUAAUCCAUAGAUCUCCGAAUGAGGAAACUCAACUAGUAACAAUAUACUAGUUAUCCAUACAUGAGUAAAGUAGUGUAUGAGAAGGGAACGUGGGGAACUGAAACAUCUUAGUACCCACAGGAAAAGAAAGAAAUUAUUCGAUUCCUAGAGUAGUGGCGAGCGAAAUAGGAAGAGCCCAAACUGUAAGUAGUAAUACAUACAGGGUUCGGACUGCAUAAUCGAUUUAAUGAGUUUAGUAGAAGUGUUUUGGAAAAGCACACCAUAGAUGGUGAAAGUCCAGUAUGCGAAAAGCGAGUUAACGAGGCAGUAUCCAGAGUAGCACGAGGCACGUGGAAUCUCGUGUGAAUGUGUGGGGACCAUCCCAUAAGGCUAAAUACUACUUGAUGACCGAUAGUGAACGAGUACCGUGAGGGAAAGGUGAAAAGAACCCCGGGAGGGGAGUGAAAUAGAAUUUGAAACCCUAUGUUUACAAGCAGACAAAGCACGUUAAGGUGCGAUGUCGUACUUUUUGUAGAACGGUCCAGCGAGUUAUUGUAUAUGGCAAGGUUAAAUACUAAGUAAGGUAUGGAGCCGAAGCGAAAGCGAGUGUCAAUAGCGCGUUUAAGUCAUAUGUAAUAGACCCGAAACCGAGUGACCUAUCCAUGGUCAGGAUGAAGCUAGAGUAAAAUCUAGUGGAGGUCCGAACUGAUUGUCGUUAAAAAGGCACCGGAUGAACUGUGGAUAGCGGAGAAAUUCCAAUCGAACUCGGAGAUAGCUGGUUCUCCUCGAAAUAGCUUUAGGGCUAGCCUUGAGGUAAAGACGUAUGGGGGUAGAGCACUGAAUGAGCUAGGGGCCUAACCAGGUUACUGAACUCUAUCAAACUACGAAUACCAUAUUGUUAUACUCAGGAGUCAGACUGCGGGAGCUAAGUUCCGUGGUCAAAAGGGAAAGAGCCCAGAUCGUCAAUUAAGGUCCCAAAGAUAUAGCUAAGUGGAAAACGAUGUGAUUUUGCGUAAACAACCAGGAUGUUGGCUCAGAAGCAGCCACUCAUUCAAAGAGUGCGUAACAGCUCACUGGUCGAGUGAAAUUGCGCGGAAAAUUACCGGGGCUAAGCUAUACACCGAAAUUGCGGAUUCAAGGAUUUAUCCUUGAGUGGUAGAGGAGCAUUCUGUUGUAGGUUGAAGUAUGACCGUAAGGACAUGUGGACGAAGCAGAAGAGAGAAUGCUGGAAUAAGUAGCGAGAGCAAGGUGAGAAUCCUUGCCGUCGAAAGUCUAAGGUUUCCUGGGGAAGGUUCGUCCGCCCAGGGUUAGUCGGGACCUAAGGAGAGGCCGAGAGGCGUAUCUGAUGGACAGCAGGUUGAUAUUCCUGCACUAUAGAUAUACUUAAAAGAUGCAAGGGACGCAGAAGUGGAAGGAAUGCGAGGAAGAGGAAAAACUCGUAUCGAAAGAUAUAGUGAAAAUAAAGUAACGAAUUUCCAAGAAGCACGCUGACGAGAAAAGCUUGUAGAUAUUGUAUAUAAAUACCCGUACCGCAAACCGACACAGGUAGAUGAGGAGAGGAUCCUAAGACGAGCGGGAGAAGCAUUGUUAAGGAACUCGGCAAAUUGACCCCGUAACUUCGGAAUAAGGGGUGCCUAUGUAAAAGUAGGCCGCAGAGAAUAGGCCCAAGCAACUGUUUAACAAAAACACAGGUUUCUGCUAAAUCGAAAGAUGAAGUAUAGGAGCUGACGCCUGCCCAGUGCUGGAAGGUUAAGGGGAAGAGUUAAGACUUGAUCUGAAGCUUAGAACCAAAGCCCCAGUGAACGGCGGCCGUAACUAUAACGGUCCUAAGGUAGCGAAAUUCCUUGUCAGGUAAG